UACGGGGGGGGCAAGCGUUGUUCGGAAUUACUGGGCGUAAAGGGCGCGUAGGCGGUCCUUCAAGUCAGGCGUGAAAGCCCCGGGCUCAACCUGGGAACCGCGCUUGAGACUGGCGGACUCGAGUUCGGGAGAGGAUGGUGGAAUUCCCAGUGUAGAGGUGAAAUUCGUAGAUAUUGGGAAGAACACCGAUGGCGAAGGCAGCCAUCUGGACCGACACUGACGCUGAGGCGCGAAAGCGUGGGGAGCAAACAGG
This 253-nucleotide ribosomal RNA is filed under the name uncultured bacterium. RNAcentral's name for it is "partial 16S ribosomal RNA". It matches the Rfam family "Bacterial small subunit ribosomal RNA", at positions 524 to 776 of the family's 1533-position model. The record is from RNAcentral.